Molecule: ribosomal RNA, 253 nt
Filed under: uncultured bacterium
Lineage: Bacteria
Description: partial 16S ribosomal RNA
Rfam family: Bacterial small subunit ribosomal RNA
Source: RNAcentral
UACGGGGGGGGCAAGCGUUGUUCGGAAUUACUGGGCGUAAAGGGCGCGUAGGCGGUGCUCUAAGUCGGAUGUGAAAACUCUGGGCUCAACCCAGAGCCUGCAUCCGAAACUGGAGUGCUAGAGUUCUGGAGGGGGUAGCGGAAUUCCUGGUGUAGCGGUGAAAUGCGUAGAUAUCAGGAGGAACACCGGUGGCGAAGGCGGCUACCUGGACAGAAACUGACGCUGAGGCGCGAAAGCGUGGGGAGCGAACAGG